This 178-nucleotide microRNA precursor is filed under the name Oryza meridionalis. RNAcentral's name for it is "MIR812 microRNA precursor family". It matches the Rfam family "MIR812 microRNA precursor family". The record is from Rfam by way of RNAcentral. Lineage: Eukaryota; Viridiplantae; Streptophyta; Magnoliopsida; Poales; Poaceae.
UUUAAACACAAUCAUGAGUUUUCGUGUUUAAUUUUGAUCGCUCGUUUUAUUUAUUUUUUUAUUGUUAUUAGAGGAUAAAACAUGAAUAGUACUUUAUGCUUGAUUUAUAUUUUUUUAGUUUUUUCUAAAUAAAACAUAUGAUUGAAGUUGGACACUGAAACCUAUGGUUGUGCUUACA